RNAcentral lists this ribosomal RNA (301 nucleotides) under uncultured bacterium. RNAcentral's name for it is "partial 16S ribosomal RNA". It matches the Rfam family "Bacterial small subunit ribosomal RNA", at positions 509 to 807 of the family's 1533-position model. The record is from RNAcentral.
CAGCAGCCGCGGGAAAACGAAGGGGGCUAGCGUUGUUCGGAUUUACUGGGCGUAAAGGGCGCGUAGGCGGACUGAUAAGUCAGGGGUGAAAUCCCAAGGCUCAACCUUGGAACUGCCUUUGAUACUGUUUGUCUUGAGUUCGAGAGAGGUAAGUGGAACUGCGAGUGUAGAGGUGAAAUUCGUAGAUAUUGGGAAGAACACCGGUGGCGAAGGCGGCGACCCGGUCCUUGACUGACGCUGAGGCGCGAAAGCGUGGGGAGCAAACAGGAUUAGAUACCCCCGUAGUCCCUGUCUCUUAUAC